This 287-nucleotide unclassified non-coding RNA is filed under the name Ascomycota sp. RNAcentral describes it as "partial contains 5.8S ribosomal RNA, internal transcribed spacer 2, and large subunit ribosomal RNA". The stretch from base 1 to 71 matches the Rfam family "5.8S ribosomal RNA", at positions 84 to 154 of the family's 154-position model. Lineage: Eukaryota; Fungi; Ascomycota. The record is from RNAcentral.
GUGAGUCAUCGAAUCUUUGAACGCACAUUGCGCCCCUCGGUAUUCCGUGGGGCAUGCCUGUUCGAGCGUCAUCUACACCCUCAAGCUCUGCUUGGUGUUGGGCGUCUGUCCCGCCUCUGCGCGCGGACUCGCCCCAAAUUCAUUGGCAGCGGUCUUUGCCUCCUCUCGCGCAGCACAUUGCGUUUCUCGAGGGGCGUGGCCCGCAUCCAGCAAGCAAUUUUUACCGUCUUUGACCUCGGAUCAGGUAGGGAUACCCGCUGAACUUAAGCAUAUCAAUAAGCGGAGGA